CAGUCGCCACGGGAAUACGGAGGGUGCAAGCGUUAAUCGGAAUUACUGGGCGUAAAGCGCACGCAGGCGGUCUGUCAAGUCGGAUGUGAAAUCCCCGGGCUCAACCUGGGAACUGCAUCCAAAACUGGCGAGCUAGAGUAUGGUAGAGGGUGGUGGAAUUUCCUGUGUAGCGGUGAAAUGCGUAGAUAUAGGAAGGAACAUCAGUGGCGAAGGCGACCACCUGGACUGAUACUGACACUGAGGUGCGAAAGCGUGGGGAGCAAACAGGAUUAGAUACCCGGGUAGUCCCUGUCUCUUAUAC
RNAcentral lists this ribosomal RNA (301 nucleotides) under uncultured bacterium. RNAcentral's name for it is "partial 16S ribosomal RNA". It matches the Rfam family "Bacterial small subunit ribosomal RNA", at positions 509 to 807 of the family's 1533-position model. The record is from RNAcentral.